AGAACGAACGCUGGCGGCAUGCCUAAUACAUGCAAGUCGAACGAACACUUCGGUGUUAGUGGCGCACGGGUGCGUAACGCGUGGGAAUCUGCCCUUGGGUUCGGAAUAACAGUUGGAAACGACUGCUAAUACCGGAUGAUAUCGAAAGAUCAAAGAUUUAUCGCCCAGGGAUGAGCCCGCGUAGGAUUAGCUAGUUGGUGAGGUAAAGGCUCACCAAGGCGACGAUCCUUAGCUGGUCUGAGAGGAUGAUCAGCCACACUGGGACUGAGACACGGCCCAGACUCCUACGGGAGGCAGCAGUAGGGAAUAUUGGACAAUGGGCGCAAGCCUGAUCCAGCAAUGCCGCGUGAGUGAUGAAGGCCUUAGGGCUGUAAAGCUCUUUUACCCGAGAUGGUAAUGACAGUAGUCGGGAGAAUAAGCACCGGCUAACUACGUGCCAGCAGCCGC
RNAcentral lists this ribosomal RNA (447 nucleotides) under uncultured soil bacterium. RNAcentral describes it as "bacterial SSU rRNA". It matches the Rfam family "Bacterial small subunit ribosomal RNA", at positions 26 to 518 of the family's 1533-position model. The record is from RNAcentral.